UCGGCGAAAGCCGGAUUAAUACCGCAUACGAUCUACGGAUGAAAGCAGGGGACCGCAAGGCCUUACGCGAACGGAGCGGCCGAUGGCAGAUUAGGUAGUUGGUGGGGUAAAGGCUCACCAAGCCGACGAUCUGUAGCUGGUCUGAGAGGACGACCAGCCACACUGGGACUGAGACACGGCCCAGACUCCUACGGGAGGCAGCAGUGGGGAAUUUUGGACAAUGGGCGCAAGCCUGAUCCAGCAAUGCCGCGUGCAGGAUGAAGGCCUUCGGGUUGUAAACUGCUUUUGUACGGAACGAAAAGGCUCUGGUUAAUACCUGGGGCUCAUGACGGUACCGUAAGAAUAAGCACCGGCUAACUACGUGCCAGCAGCCGCGGUAAUACGUAGGGUGCGAGCGUUAAUCGGAAUUACUGGGCGUAAAGCGUGCGCAGGCGGUGAUGUAAGACAGUUGUGAAAUCCCCGGGCUCAACCUGGGAACUGCAUCUGUGACUGCAUCGCUGGAGUGCGGCAGA
Molecule: ribosomal RNA, 512 nt
Filed under: proteobacterium enrichment culture clone E215
Lineage: Bacteria; Pseudomonadati; Pseudomonadota
Description: bacterial SSU rRNA
Rfam family: Bacterial small subunit ribosomal RNA
Source: RNAcentral